Long non-coding RNA from Gallus gallus (chicken), 953 nucleotides. RefSeq lists it as uncharacterized. The transcript is spliced from 2 exons. The record is from RefSeq and is a predicted model, not a curated record. Lineage: Eukaryota; Metazoa; Chordata; Aves; Galliformes; Phasianidae.
AAUUCUAAUACUUACAUUACAGACAAAUGUGUGUGUAUGCAUGUGUGCAUAUACGAAUACAUGUACAUAUGCAAAUUUAUACAUGUGAAUGUUUGUCUCUCUCCUUGUCUCUCCGCAUAAAUUCACCAGAGCUCACAUAUGUUUCACCUCAUUGGAAUUUACCUGGGAGUCUUUGGUGUGUUUUAGACAGGAGAUGAGUGGCCCUAGAUGUUUAAAAUGAAACUCACUGUGCAAGACAAAAAGGAAAAAGGCUACUGUAGCUAUGAGAUAAAUAUGCAGCUGGCUUGACGGUUGUGAUCCGAUGUGUCGAGAGGAGAAACCAUCGAAAUAUGAUAUAUGAGCAGAGCUUUGGGAGUCAUCAUCCAGCUGCAACAAAGAUGUAACAAUUGUAGGGAUAAGACAGAAAACUUGAAAGACGAGCUUCAAAUGUUCUGUAUUGACUGUUUUAAAGCAAUAGACAUGACUGAAAGCAAGUGUAUACUGAUGAUCUUGGGGGGCCGUUCCAACUGAAGCCAUUCUAUGAUUCUGUCAUAUGAUUCUAUGUUUAUUUAUAUACAUGCGGUGUGUAGGCAGCUCUGGAAGGGCUGGAAAAUGGCAACAUUUAAAUGCAAUAAUAAUAGAAAUAGGCAGGAAUUAGUGUCUUAAAAUUCCAUAUUGGUAUGGUAUGGCAAUGAGAGGAAAUCAGGUACAUGAAAGCAGGGGAAGAAAUCACUGUGUUAUUCCUGAAGGUACUUUGGAUCCUCCAUGAGGUUGUGCUUCUGGAAUUAAGCUUUCACUUUGGCAGAUACUGCUUUCCAGUUACAAGCCUAUUAAGGCCUUCUCAACAAGAACAUCAAUGAAGAUGUUCUCCAUGUGCAAAACUAUGUUAAUUAUUGUUCUUAUAGUAGUCUCUCUGCCCUUUUCAGAUGCAGAAGAAUCAUUUUUAAACAAAAGCAAUAAAGUGGUGAAAAGAA